Molecule: transfer RNA, 84 nt
Filed under: Candidatus Saccharimonadota bacterium
Lineage: Bacteria; Candidatus Saccharimonadota
Description: tRNA-Leu
Rfam family: tRNA
About the family: Transfer RNA (tRNA) molecules are approximately 80 nucleotides in length.
Source: RNAcentral
GGGCGAGUGAUGGAAUGGUUUACAUAGCGGACUUAAAAUCCGUGCCCUUACGGGUUGUGGGUUCGAAUCCCACCUCGCCCACCA